AAGCUCAUUACAACAGCUAUCAUUUACGUGAAUGUUCAUUCGUGUUUACACGGAUAACUGCGGUAAUUCUGGAGCUAAUACGUGCAGAUAAUGGAUGAACCGUCAAAAGUUUGUCCAGCACUUAUUACCUCAAAACUAUACUAGUUUUGUUGAUUCUGAAUAAUUCGUAUAGCAUAUMUCCUUCAUGGAAGAUGCUAAUUCACGCAAGUGUCUGACCUAUCAUGACUGUCAAUAGCACUAUAUGGUAGUGCUAUGGUGAUGACGGGUAACGGAGAAUUAGGGUUCGUCUCCGGAGAAAAUGCCUGAGAAACGGCGUUUACAUCCAAGGAAGGCAGCAGGCGCGAAAAUUACCCACUCUCAGUUCGAGGAGGUAGUGACUUGAAAUGACAAGGUCUAUUCCUUCAUAGGGAUGGACCAUUGGAAUGGAUUGGUUUUACAACCACCAUUGAUUAUCUAUGAGAGGGCAAGUCUGGUGCCAGCAGCCGCGGUAAUUCCAGCUCUCAUACUGCAUUGAAUUGUUGUUGCGGUUAAAAAGCUCGUAAUUGGAUCUGACAUGUCGAACUGGUUUAAAAUGUGUUUUUCACACAUUUUGAUACUAGCUAGCGUGUGUGAAUGUAAUUAUUUAUAUUUUGUGUUUAUUCACAAAAUAUUAGUUACAUUCGAGUACCUUGAGUAAAUCAAAGUGCUCAGUACAAGCGUUUAUCGCUUGAAUGGUUUUGCUGGGAAUAUCAAAACAAGACUUGGUAUUUGUUUUGAUGGUUUUCUUCAUACCAUGUAAUGAUUAAAAGGAACAAUUCGGGGGCAUUAGUAUCGCUGGGCGAGAGGUGAAAUUCGUGGACCCUAGCGAGACUAACAACAGCGAAAGCAUUUGCCAAGAAUGUUUUCAUUAAUCAAGAACGAAAGUCAGAGGAUCGAAGGCGAUUAGAUACCGCCCUAGUUCUGACCGUAAACUAUGCCAUCUAGUUGGAGACUAUUAGAUUAUUCUAACCGAUAAUCUCUUUAGACUCCGACUUGCCCGGAAACGAAAGUCUUUCGGUUCCGGGGGAAGUAUGGUUGCAAAGUUGAAACUUAAAGGGAUUGACGGAAGGUCACUACCAGAAAUGGAGCCUGUGGCUUAAUUUGACUCAACACGGGAAAACUUACUCGGUCUAGACACUAUGAUGAUUGACAGACCUUCAGCUCUUUCAAGAUUUGGUGAAAGGUGGUGCAUGGCCGUUCUUAGUUCGUGGAGUGAUUUGUCUGGUUAAUUCCGAUAACGAACGAGACUGGAACCUGACUUUUUGCUUGCAGGGUCAUGUGCUGAUGUGUGCAUGUGUAUUUGCAUAUGUGCGCAUCUAGCUGCGCUUGCAAGCUCCUAGUGGGAUUUCUGGUUUUUGAAUCUUAUGAAACCCAGCAAUAACAGGUCUGUUAUGCCCUCAGAUGUCUGAGGCUGCACGCGCGCUACAAUGGAAAUUGCAGCGCGUGUGCCUAAUCUUGAAAGAGCUUGGAGAACGAGUCAAGUUAUUCUGUGGUUGGGCUCGGAGUUUGUAACUAUUCUCCGUCAACUAGGAACUUCAAGUAAGUGUAAGUCAUCAGCUUACGCUGAUUACGUCCCUGUCCUUUGUACACACCGCCCGUCGCUGCCCGGGACUGAGUUGAUUCGAGAAAUGUGGGGACGUUUGUGUGAGGAGCGUUUACGUUUCUURCAUGAAUGAAACCACUUUGAUCGCGUUGGCUUGAACCGGGCAAAAGUCGUAACAAGGUAGC
RNAcentral lists this ribosomal RNA (1746 nucleotides) under Panagrolaimidae gen. n. sp. n. DS-2018. Its description in RNAcentral is "SSU rRNA". It matches the Rfam family "Eukaryotic small subunit ribosomal RNA". Lineage: Eukaryota; Metazoa; Nematoda; Chromadorea; Rhabditida; Panagrolaimidae. The record is from RNAcentral.